This 301-nucleotide ribosomal RNA is filed under the name uncultured bacterium. Its description in RNAcentral is "partial 16S ribosomal RNA". It matches the Rfam family "Bacterial small subunit ribosomal RNA", at positions 509 to 809 of the family's 1533-position model. The record is from RNAcentral.
CAGCAGCCACGGUAAUACGUAGGGUGCAAGCGUUAAUCGGAAUUACUGGGCGUAAAGCGUGCGCAGGCGGUUAUAUAAGACAGAUGUGAAAUCCCCGGGCUCAACCUGGGAACUGCAUUUGUGACUGUAUAGCUAGAGUACGGCAGAGGGGGAUGGAAUUCCGCGUGUAGCAGUGAAAUGCGUAGAUAUGCGGAGGAACACCGAUGGCGAAGGCAAUCCCCUGGGCCUGUACUGACGCUCAUGCACGAAAGCGUGGGGAGCAAACAGGAUUAGAUACCCCUAGUCCCUGUCUCUUAUACAC